This 220-nucleotide ribosomal RNA is filed under the name uncultured bacterium. RNAcentral's name for it is "partial 16S ribosomal RNA". It matches the Rfam family "Bacterial small subunit ribosomal RNA", at positions 111 to 334 of the family's 1533-position model. The record is from RNAcentral.
UAAUGCAUCGGAACGUGCCCAGUCGUGGGGGAUAACGCAGCGAAAGCUGCGCUAAUACCGCAUACGAUCUAUGGAUGAAAGCGGGGGACCGUAAGGCCUCGCGCGAUUGGAGCGGCCGAUGUCAGAUUAGGUAGUUGGUGGGGUAAAGGCUCACCAAGCCGACGAUCUGUAGCUGGUCUGAGAGGACGACCAGCCACACUGGGACUGAGACACGGCCCAG